RNAcentral lists this ribosomal RNA (593 nucleotides) under uncultured archaeon. RNAcentral's name for it is "bacterial SSU rRNA". It matches the Rfam family "Archaeal small subunit ribosomal RNA", at positions 108 to 704 of the family's 1478-position model. The record is from RNAcentral.
CAUGCCCAGGGGACGUGGAUAACCUCGGGAAACUGAGGAUAAACCGCGAUAGGUCACUACUUCUGGAAUGGGUAAUGACCCAAACCUACAUGGCCCCUGGAUUGGACUGCGGCCGAUCAGGCUGUUGGUGAGGUAAUGGCCCACCAAACCUGUAACCGGUACGGGCUCUGAGAGGAGGAGCCCGGAGAUGGGCACUGAGACAAGGGCCCAGGCCCUAUGGGGCGCAGCAGGCGCGAAACCUCUGCAAUAGGCGAAAGCUUGACAGGGUUACUCUGAGUGAUUUCCGUUAAGGAGAUCUUUUGGCACCUCUAAAAAUGGUGCAGAAUAAGGGGUGGGCAAGUCUGGUGUCAGCCGCCGCGGUAAUACCAGCACCCCGAGUGGUCGGGACGUUUAUUGGGCCUAAAGCAUCCGUAGCCGGUUCUACAAGUCUUCCGUUAAAUCCACCUGCUUAACAGAUGGGCUGCGGAAGAUACUAUGGAGCUAGGAGGCGGGAGAGGCAAGCGGCACUCGAUGGGUAGGGGUAAAAUCCGUUGAUCCAUUGAAGACCACCAGUGGCGAAGGCGGCUUGCCAGAACGCGCUCGACGGUGAGGGG